CGCGAAUGGCUCAUUACAACAGCUAUAAUUUACUUGAUCUUGACAACCUACUUGGAUAACUGUGGUAAUUCUAGAGCUAAUACAUGCACCAAAGCUCCGACCGUAAGGGAAGAGCGCAUUUAUUAGAACAAAACCAAGCGGCUUCGGCCGUCCAAUGUUGACUCAGAAUAACUAAGCUGAUCGCAUGGUCUUGCACCGGCGACGUGUCUUUCAAGUAUCUGCCUUAUCAACUUUCGAUGGUAGUGUAUCUGACUACCAUGGUGGUGACGGGUAACGGAGGAUAAGGGUUCGACUCCGGAGAAGGGGCCUGAGAAAUGGCCACUACGUCUAAGGAUGGCAGCAGGCGCGCAAAUUACCCACUCUCAGAAUGAGGAGGUAGUGACGAGAAACAACGAGACCGUUCUCUACGAGGCCGGUCAUCGGAAUGGGUACAAUUUAAACCCUUUAACGAGUAUCUAUGAGAGGGCAAGUCUGGUGCCAGCAGCCGCGGUAAUUCCAGCU
This 501-nucleotide ribosomal RNA is filed under the name Tylenchorhynchus iphilus. RNAcentral describes it as "SSU rRNA". It matches the Rfam family "Eukaryotic small subunit ribosomal RNA", at positions 88 to 590 of the family's 1831-position model. Lineage: Eukaryota; Metazoa; Nematoda; Chromadorea; Rhabditida; Telotylenchidae. The record is from RNAcentral.